This is a long non-coding RNA of Capsella rubella, 440 nucleotides long. RefSeq lists it as uncharacterized. NCBI's taxonomy places the organism in Eukaryota, Viridiplantae, Streptophyta, Magnoliopsida, Brassicales, Brassicaceae. The record is from RefSeq and is a predicted model, not a curated record. The transcript has 2 exons.
GGAACGGCGAGACAAAUUUCAUAUAAACAACCAUAAAGAUCCGUCAACGAGUAUAAGGAUCCCCCGAUGUGAUCCUACCCGGUAUCGGAGAAGGCGGACUCGACAUCCAAAGUUAGAGAAGGUGAGAAUGGUCAGGAAUUAGGGUCCUUUAAGAAUUAGUAAGAACGACCCAUCACCAAAGUUCCUAUAUGCAUGUAAUUAAGCUGGAUUAUGAACAAAUCUACAAUCUUUGGUAUCCUAUGAAUUAGAGUUAGCUUCUUACUUCACCUAUAGUCUAUACAUCUCCCUGAUUGAGAUUUGUACCAAACUUGCUUCAUCAAUCUGAAUUGAUUCAAUACUCAAUCUAAUUCUUUGAAUGUGAUAAGAACCAAACCAUCACACUUUUAUUUUGUUUUUUUUUUUUCCAAACUUAAACAUGAGAACCAAAUAAAAACAUAAAC